GAUGAACGCUGGCGGCGUGCUUAACACAUGCAAGUCGAACGAUGAACCUCACUUGUGGGGGGAUUAGUGGCGAACGGGUGAGUAACACGUGAGUAACCUGCCCUUGACUCUGGGAUAAGCCUGGGAAACCGGGUCUAAUACUGGAUACGACCUUCUGGCGCAUGCCAUGUUUGCGGAAAGCUUUUGUGGUUUUGGGUGGACUCGCGGCCUAUGAGCUGGUUGGUGGGGUAAUGGCCAACCAAGGCGACGACGGGUAGCCGGCCUGAGAGGGUGACCGACCACAGUGGGGCUGAGACACGGUCCGGACGGCAGCGGGAGGCAGCAGUGGGGAAUAUUGCACAAUGGGCGCGAGCCUGAUGCAGCGAGGCCGCGUGGGGGUUGGAGGCCUACGGGUUGUAAUCCUCUUUCAGUAGGGAAGAAGGCAGCUUUUGGGUUGGUGACGGUACCUGCAGAAGAAGCGCCGGCUAACUACGUG
RNAcentral lists this ribosomal RNA (475 nucleotides) under uncultured bacterium. RNAcentral's name for it is "partial 16S ribosomal RNA". It matches the Rfam family "Bacterial small subunit ribosomal RNA", at positions 28 to 507 of the family's 1533-position model. The record is from RNAcentral.